GAAAUGCGAUAAGUAAUGUGAAUUGCAGAAUUCAGUGAAUCAUCGAAUCUUUGAACGCACCUUGCGCUCCUUGGUAUUCCUUGGAGCAUGCCUGUUUGAGUAUCAUGAAAUCUUCAAAGUAAAUCUUUUGUUAACUCAAUUGGUUUCUACUUUGGUAUUGGAGGUCUUUGCAGCUUCACACCUGCUCCUCUUUGUUCAUUAGCUGGAUCUCAGUGUUAUGCUUGGUUCCACUCGGCGUGAUAAGUUAUCUAUCGCUGAGGACACUGUAAAAGGUGGCCAAGGUAAAUGCAGAUGAACCGCUUCUAAUAGUCCAUUGACUUGGACAAUACUUUUAUGAUCUGAUCUCAAAUCAGGUAGGACUACCCGCUGCACUUAAGC
Molecule: unclassified non-coding RNA, 378 nt
Filed under: plant metagenome
Description: partial contains 5.8S ribosomal RNA, internal transcribed spacer 2, and large subunit ribosomal RNA
Rfam family: 5.8S ribosomal RNA (bases 1-105)
Source: RNAcentral